This 333-nucleotide ribosomal RNA is filed under the name uncultured bacterium. RNAcentral's name for it is "partial 16S ribosomal RNA". It matches the Rfam family "Bacterial small subunit ribosomal RNA", at positions 338 to 685 of the family's 1533-position model. The record is from RNAcentral.
CCUACGGGGGGCAGCAGUGGGGAAUAUUGGACAAUGGGGGGAACCCUGAUCCAGCGACGCCGCGUGAGUGAAGAAGUAUUUCGGUAUGUAAAGCUCUAUCAGCAGGGAAGAAAGAAAUGACGGUACCUGACUAAGAAGCCCCGGCUACCUACGUGCCAGCAGCCGCGGUAAUACGUAGGGGGCAAGCGGUAUCCGGAUUUACUGGGUGAAAAGGGAGCGUAGACGGCGAUGCAAGUCUGAGGUGAAAGGCGGGGGCCAAACCCGCGGAUUGCUUUGGAAACUGUAGGGCUGGAGUGCAGGAAGGGGGAGUGGAAUUCCUGGUGUAGCGGUGAA